CCUACGGGUGGCAGCAGUGGGGAAUAUUGGACAAUGGGCGAAAGCCUGAUCCAGCCAUGCCGCGUGUGUGAAGAAGGCCUUCGGGUUGUAAAGCACUUUCAGUGGGGAAGAAAGCCUUGGGGCUAAUACCCUCGAGGAAGGACAUCACCCACAGAAGAAGCACCGGCUAACUCCGUGCCAGCAGCCGCGGUAAUACGGAGGGUGCGAGCGUUAAUCGGAAUUACUGGGCGUAAAGCGCGCGUAGGCGGUCUGAUAAGCCGGUUGUGAAAGCCCCGGGCUCAACCUGGGAACGGCAUCCGGAACUGUCAGGCUAGAGUGCAGGAGAGGAAGGUAGAAUUCCCGGUGUAGCGGUGAAAUGCGUAGAGAUCGGGAGGAAUACCAGUGGCGAAGGCGGCCUUCUGGACUGACACUGACGCUGAGGUGCGAAAGCGUGGGUAGCAAACAGGACUAGAUACCCGUGUCGUC
RNAcentral lists this ribosomal RNA (465 nucleotides) under Vreelandella stevensii. Its description in RNAcentral is "partial 16S ribosomal RNA". It matches the Rfam family "Bacterial small subunit ribosomal RNA", at positions 338 to 795 of the family's 1533-position model. Lineage: Bacteria; Pseudomonadati; Pseudomonadota; Gammaproteobacteria; Oceanospirillales; Halomonadaceae. The record is from RNAcentral.